Molecule: ribosomal RNA, 452 nt
Filed under: uncultured bacterium
Lineage: Bacteria
Description: bacterial SSU rRNA
Rfam family: Bacterial small subunit ribosomal RNA
Source: RNAcentral
GGGCUCAUCAUCCCACGAAGGAAACAACAUGGUCUUCCUCGGUGGUGGACCGGACAACAGGUGCAUCAUGGUUGUCGUCAGCUGUCGUGAGGAGAUGGGGGAAGUAGUCCAACGAGGACAACAAUCCCCUCCUGUAGCCAUCAUCUCACAGUGGGCCACUUAGAGGGGACGCCCGGGUCAACGGGGAGGAAAGCGGGGACGACGUCAAGUCAUCAUGCCCCUUAUGCCCAGGGCACACACGUGCUACAAUGGACGGCACAAAGGGCAGCCACGCCGCGAGGAGAGCAAAUCCCAAAAAACCGUUCUCAGUUCGGAUCGGAGUCUGCAACUCGACUCCAUGAAGGAGGAAUCGCUAGUAAUCGUGGAUCAGCAUGACGCGGUGAAUACGUUCCCGGGCCUUGUACACACCGCCCGUCACACCACGAAAGUCAGCUGUACUCGAAGUCGCUGAG